This 466-nucleotide ribosomal RNA is filed under the name uncultured bacterium. RNAcentral describes it as "partial 16S ribosomal RNA". It matches the Rfam family "Bacterial small subunit ribosomal RNA", at positions 29 to 506 of the family's 1533-position model. The record is from RNAcentral.
ACGAACGCUGGCGGCGUGCUUCACACAUGCAAGUCGCACGGAAAGGCCCUGCUUUUGUGGGGUGCUCGGGUGGCGAACGGGUGAGUAACACGUGAGUAACCUGCCCUUGACUUUGGGAUAACUUCAGGAAACUGGGGCUAAUACCGGAUAGGAGCUCCUGCUGCAUGGUGGGGGUUGGAAAGUUUCGGCGGUUGGGGAUGGACUCGCGGCUUAUCAGCUUGUUGGUGGGGUAGUGGCUUACCAAGGCUUUGACGGGUAGCCGGCCUGAGAGGGUGACCGGCCACAUUGGGACUGAGAUACGGCCCAGACUCCUACGGGAGGCAGCAGUGGGGAAUAUUGCACAAUGGGCGGAAGCCUGAUGCAGCAACGCCGCGUGCGGGAUGACGGCCUUCGGGUUGUAAACCGCUUUCGCCUGUGACGAAGCGUGAGUGACGGUAAUGGGUAAAGAAGCACCGGCUAACUACGU